CGGCGGACGGGUGAGUAACGCGUGGGUAACCUGCCUCAUACAGGGGGAUAACAGUUGGAAACGACUGCUAAUACCGCAUAAGCCCACGACCCGGCAUCGGGUAGAGGGAAAAGGAGCAAUCCGCUUUGAGAUGGCCUCGCGUCCGAUUAGCUAGUUGGUGAGGUAAUGGCCCACCAAGGCGACGAUCGGUAGCCGGACUGAGAGGUUGAACGGCCACAUUGGGACUGAGACACGGCCCAG
This 240-nucleotide ribosomal RNA is filed under the name uncultured bacterium. Its description in RNAcentral is "partial 16S ribosomal RNA". It matches the Rfam family "Bacterial small subunit ribosomal RNA", at positions 96 to 334 of the family's 1533-position model. The record is from RNAcentral.